RNAcentral lists this ribosomal RNA (395 nucleotides) under Mullus surmuletus (striped red mullet). Its description in RNAcentral is "partial 12S ribosomal RNA". It matches the Rfam family "Bacterial small subunit ribosomal RNA", at positions 801 to 1410 of the family's 1533-position model. Lineage: Eukaryota; Metazoa; Chordata; Actinopteri; Syngnathiformes; Mullidae. The record is from RNAcentral.
UAUGAUCUUACACGCAUUAUCCGCCUGGGUACUACGAGCGCUAGCUUAAAACCCAAAGGACUUGGCGGUGCUUUAGACCCACCUAGGAGGAGCCUGUUUCUAUAACCGAUAAUCCCCGUUCAACCUCACCCUUCCGUUUAUCUGCCUAUAUACCGCCGUCGCCAGCCCAUCCUGUGAAGGAUCUAUAGUGGGCUAGUCUGGUACUGCCUCUAAUGACAGGUCGAGGUGUAGCAUGUGGAAGGGGAAGCAAUGGGCUACAUUCGCUGCCUCAGUGAACUACGAACGGCACAGUGAAAGCCUGUGCCUGAAGGUGGAUUUAGCAGUAAGGGGGGAGUAGAGUGCCCCUCUGAACUUGGCUCUGAAGUGUGCACACACCGCCCGUCACCCUCUGCAGU